UACGUAGGGUGCAAGCGUUGUCCGGAAUUAUUGGGCGUAAAGAGCUCGUAGGCGGCCUGUCGCGUCGGCUGUGAAAACCUGGGGCUCAACCCCGGGCCUGCAGCCGAUACGGGCAGGCUAGAAUUCGGUAGGGGAGACUGGAAUUCCUGGUGUAGCGGUGAAAUGCGCAGAUAUCAGGAGGAACACCGGUGGCGAAGGCGGGUCGCUGGGCCGAUAUUGACGCUGAGGAGCGAAAGCGUGGGGAGCAAACAGG
Molecule: ribosomal RNA, 253 nt
Filed under: uncultured bacterium
Lineage: Bacteria
Description: partial 16S ribosomal RNA
Rfam family: Bacterial small subunit ribosomal RNA
Source: RNAcentral